RNAcentral lists this ribosomal RNA (2101 nucleotides) under Entamoeba coli. RNAcentral's name for it is "16S-like small subunit ribosomal RNA". It matches the Rfam family "Eukaryotic small subunit ribosomal RNA". Lineage: Eukaryota; Evosea; Mastigamoebida; Endamoebidae. The record is from RNAcentral.
UAUCUGGUUGAUCCUGCCAGUAUUAUAUGCUUCUGUCAAAGAUUAAGCCAUGCAUGUCUAAGCAUAAAGUCCUAGUAAGAUGAAGCUGCGAACGGCUCAUUACAACAGUUAUAAUCUUUUUGAUGAAAUACGUACAAGGAUAUCUUUGAGAAUGUCAAAGCUAAUACUUGACGGGUAACGCCUUCAGUCGAGUGUAUUCCUCCGGGAGUAUAAUCUACUGAGGAGGGGAGGACCCCCAAGGUCCUUUCAAUAUAUUACCACUUCUUUGUGAAUAAGGGUGGAUUAUAUGCCAAGAGAAUUGUAGAAAUCGAGAGAUUUUCACAAGUCAUCAUUAAGAAUAUCUGACCUAUCAACUGGUUGUUGGUAAGGUAGUGGCUUACCAAGGUGAUAACGGGUAACGAGGAAUAAGGGUUCGACAUCGGAGAGGGAGCUUUAGAAAUGGCUACCACUUCUAAGGAAGGCAGCAGGCGCGAAAAUUACCCAAUCUUAACAACUGAAGGAGGUAGUGACGACAAUUAACGCUUUCCCUCGCUUUACGUGAGGAUUGCCGGAAUGAUCACGACAUAAACCAUCGUGAGAAAGCGAUUGGAGGGCAAGUCUGGUGCCAGCAGCCGCGGUAAUUCCAGCUCCAAUAGUGUAUUGUAAAGUUGUUGUGAUUAAAACGCUCGUAGUUGAAUGUAAACAAUCGAGUCAUGAUUUACGUUCUCUGAUUUGGGCUUGCUCGAGUCAGUUGAACCGCAAUCAGAAAAUGACUCACUAUAAGCGGGAGUUUGAUUCAGUUCCAAACUCUUUUACUUUGAUUAAAUCAAGGUGCUUAAAGCAAAAUCUUCUGUUAAUGAAUGAUGAAGCAUGGUAUAAAAUGAAAAACAGAACAGAGAUCAAUAUUGAAUUAUGGGGAUGGUUCGCCAUUCGAAUAUUUCAGUUUUUUGUUUUGUUUCAAACAAGAUUAAGAGAAAUGAUUAGGGUGAUUUAGAUAGGAACGGGAGAGGUGGAAUUCCAUGAUCGUUUCGAGAUAAACGAGAGCGAAAGCAUUUCACUGAAUUCAUUUCAUUAAUCAAGAACGAAAGUCAGGGAAUCAAAGACGAUUAGAUACCGUCGUAGUCCUGACCAUAAACGAUGUCAACUAAGGAUUGGAUAAGACAAUAAUGAAGCACGAUUUCAAAUGUCCCGAGGCAACAGCCAAAGGACUCUGAAAUAUCUUCAAUUCUUCCCUUAUUCAGGACUUGAUGAGAAAUCAUUAAGUGAAUGGACUUCAGGGGGAGUAUGGUCACAAGGCUGAAACUUAAAGGAAUUGACGGAAGGGCACACCAGGAGUGGAGCCUGCGGCUUAAUUUGACUCAACACGGGAAAACUUACCAAGACCGAACGGUGUAAGGAAUGACAGGUUACUGGAUUUUUCAUGAUUCAUCGGGGAGUGGUGCAUGGCCGUUCUUAGUUCGUGGACUGAUUUGUCUGGUUAAUUCCGAUAACGAACGAGACUUGAACUUAUUAAUUAGUUGGGUAGAAAUCAUCUUCGGGUGGUUCUGCUUACUGUCCGAAAGGACAGCGUGAAGAGUUUAUCUUCGUGACUUCUUAAAGGGACACAUCUUCAACGUUCUCGCACGUUUGACUGGGUACACUGGAGCAAUCUGGUGUCUUAGAUAAAUGUCGGGAAAAAGAAGAAGGAAGCGUCAAGCAAUAACAGGUCUGUGAUGCCCUUAGACAUCUUGGGCUGCACGCGUGCUACAAUGAAAGUACUAACGAGUCUUCGCUGAUUGCGAAUGGUGAUGAGUUUCGCAACUAGUCAUUAUUUGCAGUCAGCAAUUUCCAAGUCCGAAAGGACAAGGCAAGCUCUAAUGUCUUUUAUUUAAUUCUUGACUGGGAUGAAUGAUUGGAAUUAUUUGUUCUGAACAAGGAAUUCCUUGUAAGCGCAAGUCAUUACCUUGCGCUGAAUAAGUCCCUGCCCUUUGUACACACCGCCCGUCGCUCCUACCGAUUGAAUAAAGAGGUGAAAUCUCAGGAUUUUGGUGGCUUGCCACUGGGAGAAUGAGCGUAAAUCUCUUUGUUUAGAGGAAGGAGAAGUCGUAACAAGGUUUCCGUAGGUGAACCUGCGGAAGGAUCA